RNAcentral lists this long non-coding RNA (994 nucleotides) under Anser brachyrhynchus (Pink-footed goose). Its description in RNAcentral is "lncRNA (ENSABRG00000021178.1)". The record is from RNAcentral. Lineage: Eukaryota; Metazoa; Chordata; Aves; Anseriformes; Anatidae.
GUUUGGAAGAUGUACCAAAGUAUUUAUAUUCAUAGCUGGUCUAUGGGUAGGUGGCUGCAGUAUUAGUCUGGAUUUCCACACUUCUGCAGUGUUCUGUAAUAAUAUCAGAUUAGUUACCAAAAUAUGGAAACCCUUCACAUAAGCACCUAGAACACAGUACAUGAAACUAUUUCAAUAUAAUGAAAAUGUAACUCAUGUCCCGAGUCUAAAGGUUGACAUGCACAGAUCUUGAAGGCUAUAUAAUUUCAACAAUAAAUAAUACUGGCUUCUUAGCACUUGUAUUCACCUUCCAUUUGCAUGCCAUGAGAAUGGUGAGUGCUGGUGCUGGAUUCUGAAGAGAGCCCAAGUCUGAGAAGCUUCUGUGAAUGCUACCAGUUUUGAACAGAUGAGAAUCUGAGAGUGACAGUGAGGAUGGGAAAAUGAAAAAUGGAAAAAUUCAAACUGGUUUUAGCCCAUGUGCCCGUGAGUUGGGUAGGGGAAAAGCUGCUUGUAUAUACUUCCAAAGGCUGAGGCCAAACGUGGCAAAACUCAGAAAAUAUUAAUUUGCCAUUAACAUUAAUUUCCUGCCCAUCUCAGUCUGCAACCCAGUCCCCAGUUUGCAGGCGAGAUGCAGGCAGACAUCCCACUCUGUGGGGGCUGACUCCUUCUCUCCCCACAGGCUACUGGGCUUGUCGUGUCCUGCCCAGGAGCACACGAGACUGAGGAGGACUGGAGCUGUAUGAGGCCCACAUGGAAGUUAGAAAGGAAAGAAAACAAGGACUCAACUUUGAAGGGGAAACAAACCUGCAAAGAAAAUGAGAAGUUGGAAACAUUUCUUUGCCUUCCUGAGGAAAUGAAGAAAUGCUCUUCAGGAUCUGCAUUCUGUGUCUGUACUGGAACAUACAAAGGCUUGCUUGUUCUACUGAGGAUAGGGAAGUUUUACUUGAAGAUAUUAUUUUCUGAAAUCUGAGCGUGACAAAAUAAACUUCCUUGUAUUACUACUACUGUGGAAGAA